Molecule: ribosomal RNA, 496 nt
Filed under: uncultured bacterium
Lineage: Bacteria
Description: partial 16S ribosomal RNA
Rfam family: Bacterial small subunit ribosomal RNA
Source: RNAcentral
GAUGAACGCUGGCGGCGUGCCUAAUACAUGCAAGUCGAGCGAACAGACGAGGAGCUUGCUCCUCUGACGUUAGCGGCGGACGGGUGAGUAACACGUGGAUAACCUACCUAUAAGACUGGGAUAACUUCGGGAAACCGGAGCUAAUACCGGAUAAUAUAUUGAACCGCAUGGUUCAAUAGUGAAAGACGGUUUUGCUGUCACUUAUAGAUGGAUCCGCGCCGCAUUAGCUAGUUGGUAAGGUAACGGCUUACCAAGGCGACGAUGCGUAGCCGACCUGAGAGGGUGAUCGGCCACACUGGAACUGAGAAACGGUCCAGACUCCUACGGGAGGCAGCAGUAGGGAAUCUUCCGCAAUGGGCGAAAGCCUGACGGAGCAACGCCGCGUGAGUGAUGAAGGUCUUCGGAUCGUAAAACUCUGUUAUUAGGGAAGAACAAAUGUGUAAGUAACUAUGCACGUCUUGACGGUACCUAAUCAGAAAGCAACGGCUAACUACGU